UGUAAAAGAGCCCGCACUGGGAGAAAAAUAAUUCGGGAAUAACCUGAAUGAAGUGGCUCCCCAGAGACUCUUUCAGAAGACAGAACUUCUGUACAGGCAGCCAAUGUGCUUUGUUGCUUCUCUCUCCCAAUACCACAGGGGAAGGGAAAGUGUGUGUCAGUCGCAGCCAAGAAGGGAGCAGAGCACACCUCCUCAGUGCUUUGAGCUGCAAGAGCACAGUGCUGAAGCACUUAGGGGGCAUGUUCUGUUCCUGGCAUAUUCCUUGCCUGAAUCACACUGUAGCACUUGGGUGAAGGGAAGCAUAUAAGCAUUUGCCCUACCCUGCCUUAGCUGGGCCCAAUACAGCAGAGGGGAGGAGAAAGGCUGGAGGACUCUUCUGUGCAUGGCACAGAU
Long non-coding RNA from Gavialis gangeticus (Gharial), 393 nucleotides. RefSeq lists it as uncharacterized. The transcript is spliced from 3 exons. NCBI's taxonomy places the organism in Eukaryota, Metazoa, Chordata, Crocodylia, Gavialidae. The record is from RefSeq and is a predicted model, not a curated record.